UACGUAGGGGGCAAGCGUUGUCCGGAAUCAUUGGGCGUAAAGAGCGUGUAGGCGGUCCGGUAAGUCGGCUGUGAAAGUCCAGGGCUCAACCCUGGGAUGCCGGUCGAUACUGCCGGACUAGAGUUCGGAAGAGGCGAGUGGAAUUCCCGGUGUAGCGGUGAAAUGCGCAGAUAUCGGGAGGAACACCAAUUGCGAAGGCAGCUCGCUGGGACGUUACUGACGCUGAGACGCGAAAGCGUGGGGAGCAAACAGG
This 253-nucleotide ribosomal RNA is filed under the name uncultured bacterium. RNAcentral's name for it is "partial 16S ribosomal RNA". It matches the Rfam family "Bacterial small subunit ribosomal RNA", at positions 524 to 776 of the family's 1533-position model. The record is from RNAcentral.